RNAcentral lists this ribosomal RNA (486 nucleotides) under uncultured bacterium. Its description in RNAcentral is "partial 16S ribosomal RNA". It matches the Rfam family "Bacterial small subunit ribosomal RNA", at positions 28 to 507 of the family's 1533-position model. The record is from RNAcentral.
GACGAACGCUGGCGGCGUGCUUAACACAUGCAAGUCGAACGCUGAAGACCUGGCUUUUGUUGGGUUGGAUGAGUGGCGAACGGGUGAGUAACACGUGAGUAACCUGCCCUCUUCUUUGGGAUAACGCCCGGAAACGGGUGCUAAUACUGGAUAUUCACUGGCCUUCGCAUGGGGGUUGGUGGGAAGGUUUGUUCUGGUGGGGGAUGGGCUCGCGGCCUAUCAGCUUGUUGGUGGGGUGAUGGCCUACCAAGGCUUUGACGGGUAGCCGGCCUGAGAGGGUGACCGGUCACAUUGGGACUGAGAUACGGCCCAGACUCCUACGGGAGGCAGCAGUGGGGAAUAGUGCACAAUGGGCGAAAGCCUGAUGCAGCGACGCCGCGUGAGGGAUGGAGGCCUUCGGGUUGUAAACCUCUUUCGCUCAUGGUCAAGCCGCAACUGUGGGUUGUGGUGAGGGUAGUGGGUAAAGAAGCGCCGGCUAACUACGUG